Molecule: ribosomal RNA, 255 nt
Filed under: uncultured bacterium
Lineage: Bacteria
Description: partial 16S ribosomal RNA
Rfam family: Bacterial small subunit ribosomal RNA
Source: RNAcentral
UACGUAGGGGGCAAGCGUUGUCCGGAAUCAUUGGCGUAAAGCGCGUGUAGGCGGCUCGAUAAGUCUGCCUGUGAAAGUUCAGGGCUACAACCCUGAAAUGCCGGUGGAAACUGUCGAGCUAGAGUACGGAAGAGGUGAGUGGAAUUCCUGGUGUAGCGGUGAAAAUGCGCAGAUAUCAGGAGGAACACCAAUGGCGAAGGCAGCUCACUGGGACGUUACUGACGCUGAGACGCGAAAGCGUGGGGAGCAAACAGG